GACGAACGCUGGCGGCGCGCCUAACACAUGCAAGUCGAACGGAAAGGCCUGCUUUCCCUUGUGGAUUGCGGGUACUCGAGUGGCGAACGGGUGAGUAACACGUGAGUGAUCUGCCCCCAACUUGGGUAUAAGCCUGGGAAACUGGGUCUAAUUCCCGAUAGGACUGCAGGGUGGUGCCUGUGGUGGAAAACGAUUUUCUAGUGGUUGGGGAUGAGCUCGCGGCCUAUCAGCUUGUUGGUGGGGUAAUGGCCUACCAAGGCGGCGACGGGUAGCCGGCCUGAGAGGGUGGACGGCCACAUUGGGACUGAGAUACGGCCCAGACUCCUACGGGAGGCAGCAGUGGGGAAUAUUGCACAAUGGGCGGAAGCCUGAUGCAGCGACGCCGCGUGGGGGAUGACGGCCUUCGGGUUGUAAACUCCUUUCGACCGCGAGGAAGCCGCCUGGUUGGAAGGGUGGUGACGGUAGUGGUAGAAGAAGCACCGGCUAACUACGUG
This 494-nucleotide ribosomal RNA is filed under the name uncultured bacterium. RNAcentral describes it as "partial 16S ribosomal RNA". It matches the Rfam family "Bacterial small subunit ribosomal RNA", at positions 28 to 507 of the family's 1533-position model. The record is from RNAcentral.